RNAcentral lists this ribosomal RNA (392 nucleotides) under uncultured bacterium. RNAcentral describes it as "partial 16S ribosomal RNA". It matches the Rfam family "Bacterial small subunit ribosomal RNA", at positions 523 to 918 of the family's 1533-position model. The record is from RNAcentral.
AUCCGGAGGAUCCGAGCGUUAUCCGGAUUUAUUGGGUUUAAAGGGUGCGCAGGCGGCCAUUUACGUCAGCGGUUACAUCGUGGGGCUCAACCCCAUUCUGCCGUUGAUCCUGGUUGGCUUGAUUGCGUUAGAGGUUUGCGGAAUUCGUUGUGUAGCGGUGAAGUGCAUAGAUAGGACGAAGAAUACCGAUUGAGUAGGCAGCUGACCAGACCGCAAAAGACGCUCAUGCACGAACGUGCGGGGAUCGAACAGGAUUAGAUGCCCUGGUAGUCCGCACAGUAAACGAUGAAUACUUGUCUUCGGCGAUAUAAUGUCGGAGGCAAAGCGAAAGCGAUAAGUAUUCCACCUGGGGAGUACGCCGGCAACGGUGAAACUCAAAGGAAUUGACGGGG